Molecule: ribosomal RNA, 492 nt
Filed under: uncultured bacterium
Lineage: Bacteria
Description: partial 16S ribosomal RNA
Rfam family: Bacterial small subunit ribosomal RNA
Source: RNAcentral
AGUGAACGCUGGCGGUAGGCCUAACACAUGCAAGUCGAACGGCAGCACAGUAAGAGCUUGCUCUUACGGGUGGCGAGUGGCGGACGGGUGAGGAAUACAUCGGAAUCUACUUUUUCGUGGGGGUUAACGUAGGGAAACUUACUCUAAUACCGCAUAUGCCCUUUGGUUGAAAGCAUGGGAACUUCUGACCUUUCGCGAAUGAAUUCGCGGAUGUCGGAUUAGCUAGUUGGCGGGUUAAAGGCCCACCCAGGCGCCGAUCCGUAGCUGGACGGAGAGGCCGGUCAGCCACACUGGAGCGGAGACACGGUCCAGACUCCUACGGGAGGCAGCAGUGGGGAAUAUUGGACAAUGGGCGCAAGCCUGAUCCAGCCAUACCGCGUGGGUGGAGGAGGCCUUCGGGUUGUAAAGCCCUUUUGUUGGGAGAGAAAAGCAGCAGGUUAAUACCACGCUGUUCUGACGGUACCCAAAGAAUAAGCACCGGCUAACUUCGUG